GGAAUAUUGGGCAAUGGAGGAAACUCUGACCCAGCGACGCCGCGUGAGGGAUGAAGGCCUUCGGGUUGUAAACCUCUUUCAGUAGGGAAGAAGCGAAAGUGACGGUACCUACAGAAGAAGCACCGGCUAACUAUGUGCCAGCAGCCGCGGUAAUACAUAGGGUGCAAGCGUUGUCCGGAAUUAUUGGGCGUAAAGAGCUCGUAGGUGGUUCGAUACGUCGGAUGUGAAAAUCAGGGGCUCAACCCCUGACCUGCAUCCGAUACGGUCGAGCUGGAGUUUGGUAGGGGAGACUGGAAUUCCUGGUGUAGCGGUGGAAUGCGCAGAUAUCAGGAGGAACACCGAUGGCGAAGGCAGGUCUCUGGGCCAAUACUGACACUGAGGAGCGAAAGCGUGGGGAGCGAACAGGAUUAGAUACCCUGGUAGUCCACGCCGUAAACGGUGGGCGCUAGUUGUGCGAACCUUCCACGGUUUGUGCGACGCAGCUAACGCAUUAAGCGCCCCGCCUGGGGAGUACGAUCGCAAGAUUAAAACUCAAAUGAAUUGACGG
This 547-nucleotide ribosomal RNA is filed under the name uncultured bacterium. RNAcentral's name for it is "bacterial SSU rRNA". It matches the Rfam family "Bacterial small subunit ribosomal RNA", at positions 358 to 916 of the family's 1533-position model. The record is from RNAcentral.